Capsaspora owczarzaki ATCC 30864 is the source of this 120-nucleotide ribosomal RNA. The record is from Rfam. Lineage: Eukaryota; Filasterea; Ministeriida; Capsasporidae.
AGUUACGGCCAUAUCUGGUGGAAUGCACCGCAUCCCGUUCCGCUCUGCGAAGUUAAACCACCAUGAGAGUAGUUAGUACUGCGGUGGGAGACCACGCGGGAAUACUGCUUGUUGUAACUC